CCCACGAAGGUGAGUCUUUUAGUUGAGUCUCGUAAGAAAAUGAAUCGAGAUAAAAAUAAAUAAAAUAAGCCUAAUAAUAAUAAUAAUAAUAAAAUAAAAUUAAAAAAAAAGUAUAAAAACCCAUGAAACCCUAAACGCUCACGGUUGAAACCGUGCACCACCGCCGCAGCAGCAGCCUCCCUCACGCACAGUCACGCUCUACAGCAGCGGCCCUUUCUCUUCCCUCCUCCACGACAGCAACCAGCAGCAGCCAGCUGCUCCUCCGCAGUCCUUCCCCCUUCCACGAGCAGCCCCAGGCAGCAGCAUAGCAGGCUGCGCGCUCUCCAACAGCAGCCGGCUAAUCUGUGUACCGCCAGCAAGUCAGCAGCCACGUGGUGGUUGCUCCACCACCCCACAUGACCAUCAAUUGUGAUCCACCACUACAACCUUCACUUACUACCUUCAUUCCUUUUGCUAGUCCCAUCUUUGUUCCCAGUUCAUAAGAGGAAAGUAGAACUUAAUUGGGUGAUUUUUGUAACUCUUGGUUGUGCAGUGACGCUUGCAGCAGGGGGAUCAUAGCUUGACAUGACAGGUAUAGGAGCUUCUUUUGUUUUGCAUUGGGGGAACAGCGGAGUACAACCGUAACAAUUGUGUACAAUUGUCUAAUGCUUGUAGCUUCUAUAUUACUUGUAAAGUUUUCUUUGGGAUUGUAUAAUUUCUUUUGUAUGGAGCCAUGUGACUCCUUAUAUGAUCCAUAGUUCCGCCGCGUAAUUUUUUGGAUGUAUAGUAUUGAGAAUACUCCUUUAGUAUCCGUCAGAUCAAUGCGUUAACACUGGAACCACGAUCCUCAUUAGAGUUGAUGAUUUGAGAAGCUGACGAUGAUUCUUUCCGUCGUGACAUAUUCUUGAAGGCAUAAAUGCCUUAGAUGAUUAUAGUUAUAUUAUCCAAUUAUAUAUUUUUUGUCACAUCCUCAGUUUUCAACAGAGAUGCUGCCGAAAUUUCCACCUACUCACUUUUUAAUUAAUCCUUAGCGUUUAUUUUAAU
Amaranthus tricolor (Joseph's coat) is the source of this 1023-nucleotide long non-coding RNA. RefSeq lists it as uncharacterized. The transcript is spliced from 3 exons. The record is from RefSeq and is a predicted model, not a curated record. Lineage: Eukaryota; Viridiplantae; Streptophyta; Magnoliopsida; Caryophyllales; Amaranthaceae.